GACGAACGCUGGCGGCGUGCUUAACACAUGCAAGUCGAGCGGUAAGGCCCCUUCGGGGGUACACGAGCGGCGAACGGGUGAGUAACACGUGAGCAAUCUGCCCUUCGCACGGGGAUAACUUCGGGAAACCGGAGCUAAUACCCGAUACGACCACCUCGGGCAUCCGACGGUGGUGGAAAGCUCCGGCGGUGAAGGAUGAGCUCGCGGCCUAUCAGCUUGUUGGUGGGGUAACGGCCCACCAAGGCAACGACGGGUAGCCGGCCUGAGAGGGUGACCGGCCACACUGGGACUGAGACACGGCCCAGACUCCUACGGGAGGCAGCAGUGGGGAAUAUUGGACAAUGGGCGAAAGCCUGAUCCAGCAACGCCCCGUGAGGGAUGACGGCCUUCGGGUUGUAAACCUCUUUCAGCAGGGACGAAGCGCAAGUGACGGUACCUGCAGAAGAAGCACCGGCCAACUACGUGCCAGCCGCCGCCGUAA
Molecule: ribosomal RNA, 481 nt
Filed under: uncultured bacterium
Lineage: Bacteria
Description: partial 16S ribosomal RNA
Rfam family: Bacterial small subunit ribosomal RNA
Source: RNAcentral